AAUUGGAGGGCAAGUCUGGUGCCAGCAGCCGCGGUAAUUCCAGCUCCAAUAGCGUAUAUUAAAGUUGUUGCAGUUAAAAAGCUCGUAGUUGAACUUCGGGAUCAAUUGAUCGGUCAUGCCUUGGUAUGUACUGGUCAUAUUGGUUCUCACCUUCUAAUGAACCUUAAUGUCAUUCACUUGAUGUUUUGGGGAAUUAGGACUGUUACCUUGAAAAAAUUAGAGUGUUUAAAGCAGGCUUACGCCUGAAUACAUUAGCAUGGAAUAAUGAAAUAGGACAUCGCAUUCUAUUUUGUUGGUUUCUAGGAUCGAUGUAAUGAUUAAUAGGGAUAGUUGGGGGCAUUAGUAUUCAAUUGUCAGAGGUGAAAUUCUUGGAUUUAUUGAAGACUAACUACUGCGAAAGCAUUUGCCAAGGAUGUUUUCAUUAAUCAAGAACGAAAGUUAGGGGAUCGAAGACGAUCAGAUACCGUCGUAGUCUUAACCAUAAACUAUGCCGACUAGGGAUCGGAUGAUGUUAAUUUUUAAAUGACUCAUUCGGCACCUUACGGGAAACCAAAGUGU
RNAcentral lists this ribosomal RNA (558 nucleotides) under uncultured Glomus. RNAcentral describes it as "SSU rRNA". It matches the Rfam family "Eukaryotic small subunit ribosomal RNA", at positions 546 to 1106 of the family's 1831-position model. Lineage: Eukaryota; Fungi; Glomeromycota; Glomeromycetes; Glomerales; Glomeraceae. The record is from RNAcentral.